Neogale vison (American mink) is the source of this 100-nucleotide small nuclear RNA. Lineage: Eukaryota; Metazoa; Chordata; Mammalia; Carnivora; Mustelidae. The record is from Ensembl.
GUGCUCACUUCAGCAGCACAUAUACUAAAAUUGGAACAGUGCAGAGAUUAACAUUGUCCCUGCGCAAGGAUGGAAUGAGUAUGUACUGCAAAGUGAUUAU